Long non-coding RNA from Oncorhynchus keta (chum salmon), 886 nucleotides. RefSeq lists it as uncharacterized. Lineage: Eukaryota; Metazoa; Chordata; Actinopteri; Salmoniformes; Salmonidae. The record is from RefSeq and is a predicted model, not a curated record. The transcript is spliced from 3 exons.
UAUUAACAUGGUCUAUAGACAUCUAGAGGGGGUAUUAACAUGGUCUAUAGACAUCUAGAGGGGGUAUUAACAUGGUCUAUAGACAUCUAGAGGGGGUAUUAACAUGGUCUAUAGACAUCUAGAGGGGGUAUUAACAUGGUCUAUAGACAUCUAGAGGGGGUAUUAACAUGGUCUAUAGACAUCUAGAGGGGUAUUAACAUGGUCUAUAGACAUCUAGAGGGGGUAUUAACAUGGUCUAUAGACAUCUAGAGGGGGUAUUAACAUGGUCUAUAGACAUCUAGAGGAGGUAUUAACAUGGUCUAUAGACAUCUAGAGGGUGUAUUAACAUGGUCUAUAGACAUCUAGAGGGGGUAUUAACAUGGUCUAUAGACAUCUAGAGGGGGUAUUAACAUGGUCUAUAGACAUCUAGAGGGGGUAUUAACAUGGUCUAUAGACAUCUAGAGGGGUAUUAACAUGGUCUAUAGACAUCUAGAGGGGUAUUAACAUGGUCUAUAGACAUCUAGAGGGGGUAUUAACAUGGUCUAUAGACAUCUAGAGGGGUAUUAACAUGGUCUAUAGACAUCUAGAGGGGGUAUUAACAUGGUCUAUAGACAUCUAGAGGGGGUAUUAACAUGGUCUAUAGACAUCUAGAGGGGGUAUUAACAUGGUCUAUAGACAUCUAGAGGGGGUAUUAACAUGGUCUAUAGACAUCUAGAGGGGGUAUUAACAUGGUCUAUAGACAUCUAGAGGGGGUAUUAACAUGGUCUAUAGACAUCUAGAGGGGGUAUUAACAUGGUCUAUAGACAUCUAGAGGGGGUAUUAACAUGGUCUAUAGACAUCUAGAGGGGGUAUUAACAUGGUCUAUAGACAUCUAGAGGGGGUAUUAACAUGGUCUAUAGACAUCCAG